CCUACGGGAGGCAGCAGUGAGGAAUAUUGGUCAAUGGGCGAGAGCCUGAACCAGCCAAGUCGCGUGAGGGAGUACUGCCCUAUGGGUUGUAAACCUCUUUUGUCGGGGAGCAAAAGCCGGACGUGUCCGGAUGUGAGAGUACCCGAAGAAAAAGCAUCGGCGAACUCAGGGCCAGCAGCCGCGGUAAUACGGAGGAUGCGAGGGUUAUCCGGAUUUAUUGGGGUAAAAGGGUGCGCAGGCGGAGUGUUAAGUCAGCGGGCAAAGCGUGGGGCUCAACCCCAUCCCGCCGUUGAAACUGGGGAUCUAGAGUGUGCGAGAGGUAUGCGGAAUGCGUGGUGUAGCGGUGAAAUGCAUAGAUAUCACGCAGAACCCCGAUGGCGAAGGCAGCAUACCGGUGCACAACUGACGUUCAGGCACGAAAGCGUGGGUAUCGAACAGGAUUAGAUACCCGAGUAGUC
This 458-nucleotide ribosomal RNA is filed under the name uncultured bacterium. Its description in RNAcentral is "partial 16S ribosomal RNA". It matches the Rfam family "Bacterial small subunit ribosomal RNA", at positions 338 to 795 of the family's 1533-position model. The record is from RNAcentral.